UUGAUAGAAGCCAAAUAGCGGCGCUUCUUUGUUAAUGAAGUCAUUGGGUUGUACUCCUAUUAAG
This 64-nucleotide transfer RNA is filed under the name Cloeon dipterum. Its description in RNAcentral is "tRNA-Asn". Lineage: Eukaryota; Metazoa; Arthropoda; Insecta; Ephemeroptera; Baetidae. The record is from RNAcentral.